This 241-nucleotide ribosomal RNA is filed under the name uncultured bacterium. Its description in RNAcentral is "partial 16S ribosomal RNA". It matches the Rfam family "Bacterial small subunit ribosomal RNA", at positions 29 to 261 of the family's 1533-position model. The record is from RNAcentral.
AGCGAACGUUUGCGGCGGGCCUAACACAUGCAAGUCGAACGGGCUCGAGGGGCAACCCUCGAGUCAGUGGCGCACGGGUGCGUAACACGUGGGUAAUCAACCCUUCAGCUCGGGACAACACCUCGAAAGGGGUGGCUAAUACCGGAUACGACGUAUGGCUUUGCGGAGUCGUACGGGAAAGGAAUUCGCAAGGAUCACUGGAGGACGAGCUCGCGGCCCAUCAGCUUGUUGGUGAGGUAAG